GAAGAAACGUCGAAGAGGAGAAGUAAAAAGUUUCGACUCUCUCAGAGAAUACCACCAGUGGCUGGAAGUGGUUAGAGUUCGUACUUUUGAAAUGCACCUCGGAGUGUUUGUCUGAACCGAAAAGUAGGGCAAAGCGGUCAUCUGCCGUUAUCAGAUAAAAGGGAAGGUAUCAACCUUAAACAGAGUGGGACCGCGCAAAGAAAGCGUCUCUGUG
RNAcentral lists this non-coding RNA (214 nucleotides) under Gracilibacillus halophilus. RNAcentral describes it as "T-box sequence". It matches the Rfam family "T-box leader". From Rfam's summary of the family: Uncharged tRNA acts as the effector for transcription antitermination of genes in the T-box leader family. T-boxes are found upstream of many aminoacyl-tRNA synthetase genes and some amino acid biosynthetic genes usually in Gram-positive bacteria. Lineage: Bacteria; Bacillati; Bacillota; Bacilli; Caryophanales; Bacillaceae. The record is from RNAcentral.